RNAcentral lists this long non-coding RNA (312 nucleotides) under Lathyrus oleraceus (garden pea). Its description in RNAcentral is "Pisum sativum (pea) long non-coding RNA (PSAT_LNC033923)". Lineage: Eukaryota; Viridiplantae; Streptophyta; Magnoliopsida; Fabales; Fabaceae. The record is from RNAcentral.
AUCAAUCUCUUCGACCAACUCAACGAGUUCUUGACAUCAAUGAACGCUCCUGAUUUGGGUAGGUGAGAACUGAACCACUUGUAGAACAAAGGCGCACAACAAUUCACCAAUCCUCCUUUUCUAUUCUCAUUCCUGUGAUGCACCGAAUGAAAGAAAUCUCCUAGUAAGGUUGGCACCGGAUUCCCCAACACAAAAAGGCGUACUGCGUCCGUGUCCACAAAUUUAGCAACAUUAGGGAAUAGGACAAUCCCAUACACGCAGAGAGCCAACACAGCAUUGAAACCUCUCUGAUCACCAUCUUCAAGUUUCUUC